CUCCUAUAUGUCCUGGGCCGCACGCGCACUACACUGACACAGAAAACGAGCAUUCCGCUUGCGGCCUGCGCCGAAGGGUGCGGGAAAUCUUUGAAACCUGUGUCGUGAUGGGGAUAGAUCAUUGAAAUUAUUGUCCUUGAACGAGGAAUGUCUUGUAGGCGCGUUUCAUCAGAACGCACCGAAUACGUCCCUGGUUCUUGUAUACACAGCCCGUCGUUGCCUGUAAUGGCUUGCGAGUAGAACCGUUUGGAGGUACUGGUGCUUGCAUCGGUCCGAAAUUCGGUAAUACUUGUAAGCUAGAAGAGGCAAAAGUCGUAACA
RNAcentral lists this ribosomal RNA (320 nucleotides) under uncultured eukaryote. Its description in RNAcentral is "partial 18S ribosomal RNA". It matches the Rfam family "Eukaryotic small subunit ribosomal RNA", at positions 1470 to 1796 of the family's 1831-position model. The record is from RNAcentral.